GCUCGGGUGGAGGAAUUGGUAGACUCACCAUCUUGAGGGGGUGGCGCCGCGAGGCAUGCUGGUUCGAGUCCAGUCCCGAGCACCA
Molecule: transfer RNA, 85 nt
Filed under: Deltaproteobacteria bacterium
Lineage: Bacteria; Pseudomonadati; Myxococcota; Myxococcia
Description: tRNA-Leu
Source: RNAcentral